UAGGGAAUCUUCCGCAAUGGGCGAAAGCCUGACGGAGCAACGCCGCGUGAGUGAUGAAGGUCUUCGGAUCGUAAAACUCUGUUAUUAGGGAAGAACAAAUGUGUAAGUAACUAUGCACGUCUUGACGGUACCUAAUCAGAAUGCCACGGCUAACUACGUGCCAGCAGCCGCGGUAAUACGUAGGUGGCAAGCGUUAUCCGAAAUUAUUGGGCGUAAAGCGCGCGUAGGCGGUUUUUUAAGUCUGAUGUGAAAGCCCACGGCUCAACCGUGGAGGGUCAUUGGAAACUGGAAAACUUGAGUGCAGAAGAGGAAAGUGGAAUUCCAUGUGUAGCGGUGAAAUGCGCAGAGAUAUGGAGGAACACCAGUGGCGAAGGCGACUUUCUGGUCUGUAACUGACGCUGAUGUGCGAAAGCGUGGGGAUCAAACAGG
This 429-nucleotide ribosomal RNA is filed under the name Actinomycetes bacterium. Its description in RNAcentral is "Actinobacteria bacterium partial 16S ribosomal RNA". It matches the Rfam family "Bacterial small subunit ribosomal RNA", at positions 355 to 776 of the family's 1533-position model. The record is from RNAcentral. Lineage: Bacteria; Bacillati; Actinomycetota; Actinomycetes.